RNAcentral lists this ribosomal RNA (498 nucleotides) under uncultured bacterium. Its description in RNAcentral is "partial 16S ribosomal RNA". It matches the Rfam family "Bacterial small subunit ribosomal RNA", at positions 899 to 1397 of the family's 1533-position model. The record is from RNAcentral.
ACUCAAAGGAAUAGACGGGGGCCCGCACAAGCGGUGGAGCAUGUGGCUUAAUUCGAUGCAACGCGAAGAACCUUACCUAGGUUUGACAUGCACUGGACAGGGUAUGAAAGUACCUCUCCCUUCGGGGCCGGUGCACAGGUGCUGCAUGGCUGUCGUCAGCUCGUGUCGUGAGAUGUUCGGUUAAGUCCGGUAACGAGCGCAACCCCCGUUCUUAGUUGCUAACGAGUAAUGUCGAGAACUCUAAGGAUACAAACUCAUUAUAUGAGUGGGAAGGUGGGGAUGAAGUCAAGUCAGUAUGGCCCUUACACCUAGGGCUGCACACGUGCUACAAUGCCUGGUACAAUGAGAAGCAAUACCGCAAGGUGGAGCAAAUCUAUAAAACCAGGCCCAGUUCAGAUUGGAGUCUGCAAUUCGACUCCAUGAAGUUGGAAUCGCUAGUAAUGGCGCAUCAGCUACGGCGCCGUGAAUACGUUCCCGGGCCUUGCACACACCGCCCGU